RNAcentral lists this long non-coding RNA (1326 nucleotides) under Oncorhynchus kisutch (coho salmon). RNAcentral's name for it is "lncRNA (ENSOKIG00005003180.1)". The record is from RNAcentral. Lineage: Eukaryota; Metazoa; Chordata; Actinopteri; Salmoniformes; Salmonidae.
AGCACAUUUAAAAAUAUAUAUUAGAUACCAUUGACUUGCAUUGGAGUUGUGCCACAAAUGCAAAAAAGUUAGCAUUUGAAACAGUGGCCAGGUAAACAAAACCUCUGUCAGGUGGAUGGAUUAUCUUUGGAACGGAGAAAUGCUCACUAACAGGAAUCUAAACAAAUGUGUGCAAAAAUUGAGAGAAAUUAGCUUUUUGUGAUUAUGGAACAUUUCUGGGGUCGUUUUUAUUUCAGAUCAUGAAACAUGGUACCAACACUUUACAUGUUGUGUUUAUAUUUCUGUUCAGUAUACAUAAGAGAUGUUGGGUGUCAUGGCUUACAGAAAUGACAUGGAAUGACUAAGGUAAAAAGUAAUGGUUGAGGUGUGAUUCGACCACAUGCCAGACAUUAGCUAUGUGCUUGUAAGAUUGCAUCGCCACACUCCCGCACACAACUAUUACUUUAAAAAGGAGAUGAUCCAAACAGGGAAUGGUAAACCACUUAACUUGAAUGGAGUAACCUCAAGCAACAGAACUAUUAUGAGACUUCCCUCGUGUGCAUUAAUUUUACCUGCAAACUGUACUCAUGUUGGACUCAUUACACCAUGAGUAUGAAAUAUUUAUAGAGAAGUUGAGUGAAACUGAGUUGUCCAUCUAUCCACCCCCACCUGCAGGAGCUGAGCUUUGGGCACCAACAGGAGCAAGUCGUCCAUGUCCCCCUCUCCUUCCUCCUCAUCCUUGUCCUGCUCCUCCGUCAAUGUCUCCAGCUCAUCCAGAGACUUGGAAAUGCCAGUGGGGGCACUUCUCCGGCUACUAUGUAACCAGACUGUACUUCAUAUGAAAACUCCCGAACUAACAGAUGGAUAUUUGGAACGCAACUGUGUCCGGAAGAGCCGACGUGUCCAUGAGUGCUCGCUUUGACCUAUCAUACCCUGUAGCUGAUUUAUCAGUAGAUAAUGUUUUUGCGAAUUCUGUUACUUGUAUACAUCUUUCAACAACCACAGUAAUGUAAUGUAAUAAAAUGAUAUGUUGUAAACAGUGAUAGGUCUCUGCUGACUCAUAAUAGUAGGAGGUUGAGGACACUUGUGUUGUAGAUGUUUGGAGGCGUCAACUUACAAGUGUCAUUCCCUUAGAAAUGUGUAUUUGAGUUCAGGAAAGGUAGACAAUGUUCAGCCAAUGUAGUUAUUUAUAUGACGGACACUUUGUAACAUAUUCCUUGUCUAGUUGUCAUGUUUUAUUUUAAUCAUAUUUUUACUUGAAAUCAAGUCUCAAGUUAUGUGAUUUGUUUGAGGUUUUGUUGGAGAAUACGAGUUGAGUUUAUUGAAGUAUUCACUACAAGUAAUGUC